This 473-nucleotide long non-coding RNA is filed under the name Citrus sinensis (sweet orange). Its description in RNAcentral is "long non-coding RNA (CSIN_LNC002697)". The record is from RNAcentral. Lineage: Eukaryota; Viridiplantae; Streptophyta; Magnoliopsida; Sapindales; Rutaceae.
AUCCCAAACUGAUGACUCGCCGAACCAUCAACCUGCUGGUCAGUACCCACCGCCUCGGACGACACCUGACUCAUCGCUGCCACCGGCUGUCCUCCAGACGCAUACCCACCUCCAGUCCCCACCCUCCCACCAUAACAAACAGCCAGAGGUGGUGGCGGCGGCGGCAGCUGCGGGGGCUGCUGCGUAGCUGAGUAGCCACCGUUUCCUUUCUCAUUGCUGGGUCCCAUGUAUGCCGAUGACUGAUCCGAUCCAACGACUUCCCGGGCAGGAGGCAUUUGUUGAUAAGCAGGAGCUGGCACUGGCCACCAUAACAAACAGCCAGAGGUGGCGGCGGCGGCGGCAGCUGCGGGGGCUGCUGCGUAGCUGAGUAGCCACCGUUUCCUUUCUCAUUGCUGGGUCCCAUGUAUGCCGAUGACUGAUCCGAUCCAACGACUUCCCGGGCAGGAGGCAUUUGUUGAUAAGCAGGAGCUGGC